GGGGAGGUAGCUCAGUGGGUAGAGUACAUGUCUUAUACACAUGACCCCCCCCCCCA
Molecule: transfer RNA, 56 nt
Filed under: Erinaceus europaeus (western European hedgehog)
Lineage: Eukaryota; Metazoa; Chordata; Mammalia; Eulipotyphla; Erinaceidae
Rfam family: tRNA
About the family: Transfer RNA (tRNA) molecules are approximately 80 nucleotides in length. Their secondary structure includes four short double-helical elements and three loops (D, anti-codon, and T loops).
Source: Rfam by way of RNAcentral